This 238-nucleotide ribosomal RNA is filed under the name Clostridioides difficile. Its description in RNAcentral is "partial 23S ribosomal RNA". It matches the Rfam family "Bacterial large subunit ribosomal RNA", at positions 156 to 395 of the family's 2925-position model. The record is from RNAcentral. Lineage: Bacteria; Bacillati; Bacillota; Clostridia; Peptostreptococcales; Peptostreptococcaceae.
AAGUGAAUACAUAGCUUAAUGAGGGGAACUCAGGGAACUGAAACAUCUAAGUACCUGAAGGAAGAGAAAGAAAUUCGAUUCCGUAAGUAGCGGCGAGCGAACGCGGAUUAGCCCAAACCAAUAAAGUUUUCUUUAUUGGGGUUGCGGAAAUAUCAUAACGAAGAGGUAUCGUAAUUGAAGAGGUUUGGAAAGACCCACCACAGAAGGUAAUAGUCCUGUAUGUUAAACGAGAAGACUU